Molecule: ribosomal RNA, 466 nt
Filed under: Vreelandella stevensii
Lineage: Bacteria; Pseudomonadati; Pseudomonadota; Gammaproteobacteria; Oceanospirillales; Halomonadaceae
Description: partial 16S ribosomal RNA
Rfam family: Bacterial small subunit ribosomal RNA
Source: RNAcentral
CCUACGGGCGGCAGCAGUGGGGAAUAUUGGACAAUGGGGGGAACCCUGAUCCAGCCAUGCCGCGUGUGUGAAGAAGGCCCUCGGGUUGUAAAGCACUUUCAGUGAGGAAGAACGCCUGGUGGUUAAUACCCAUCAGGAAAGACAUCACUCACAGAAGAAGCACCGGCUAACUCCGUGCCAGCAGCCGCGGUAAUACGGAGGGUGCGAGCGUUAAUCGGAAUUACUGGGCGUAAAGCGCGCGUAGGUGGCUUGAUAAGCCGGUUGUGAAAGCCCCGGGCUCAACCUGGGAACGGCAUCCGGAACUGUCAAGCUAGAGUGCAGGAGAGGAAGGUAGAAUUCCCGGUGGAGCGGUGAAAUGCGUAGAGAUCGGGAGGAAUACCAGUGGCGAAGGCGGCCUUCUGGACUGACACUGACACUGAGGUGCGAAAGCGUGGGUAGCAAACAGGAUUAGAUACCCCUUGUAGUC